This 213-nucleotide ribosomal RNA is filed under the name uncultured bacterium. Its description in RNAcentral is "partial 16S ribosomal RNA". It matches the Rfam family "Bacterial small subunit ribosomal RNA", at positions 118 to 334 of the family's 1533-position model. The record is from RNAcentral.
UCGGAACGUGCCCUGGAGUGGGGGAUAACUAGUCGAAAGACUAGCUAAUACUGCAUACGAUCUACGGAUGAAAGUGGGGGAUCGCAAGACCUCAUGCUCGUGGAGCGGCCGAUAUCUGAUUAGCUAGUUGGUGGGGUAAAGGCCUACCAAGGCAUCGAUCAGUAGCUGGUCUGAGAGGACGACCAGCCACACUGGGACUGAGACACGGCCCAG